RNAcentral lists this long non-coding RNA (249 nucleotides) under Gossypium raimondii (Peruvian cotton). Its description in RNAcentral is "long non-coding RNA (GRAI_LNC000914)". The record is from RNAcentral. Lineage: Eukaryota; Viridiplantae; Streptophyta; Magnoliopsida; Malvales; Malvaceae.
UGGUGGGUGCUUCUUGCUCUGCUUAUUAAUAGCUCAAAUUGUUGUGUUUCCUUCCUGUGGGGUCCUACAUAGAAAAUUAAAAUCAAAACCAAACACAAAACAAAACAUCUAAAAAUUUACUUCUAUCCUACUCCUAAAAACAAAUUAAAAUCAUCAUUAAGUUUCAUACAACCCAAAAAAAAAAAGUUUUAAUCAUCCUCCUCAUCAUCCAUCUCAUCGCUUCCAUUUCCCUCUCAUUCCUCUUUACUU